This 42-nucleotide transfer RNA is filed under the name Drosophila rubida. RNAcentral's name for it is "partial tRNA-Leu". The record is from RNAcentral. Lineage: Eukaryota; Metazoa; Arthropoda; Insecta; Diptera; Drosophilidae. RNAcentral also lists the same sequence under 4 other names.
UUUAAGCUCCAUAUAUAAAGUAUUUUAACUUUUAUUAGAAAA